This 533-nucleotide ribosomal RNA is filed under the name uncultured crenarchaeote. RNAcentral's name for it is "bacterial SSU rRNA". It matches the Rfam family "Archaeal small subunit ribosomal RNA", at positions 339 to 874 of the family's 1478-position model. Lineage: Archaea; Thermoproteati; Thermoproteota. The record is from RNAcentral.
UCGCGAAAACUUUGCAAUAGGCGAAAGCCUGACAGGGCUAUCCCGAGUGCCAUCCGCUGAGGAAGGCUUUUACCCAGUCUAGAACGCUGGGGGAAUAAGGAGAGGGCAAGUCUGGUGUCAGCCGCCGCGGUAAUACCAGCUCUCCGAGUGGUGUGGAUGUUUAUUGGGCCUAAAGCAUCCGUAGCUGGCUAAGUUAGUCCCUUGUUAAAUCCACCGAAUUAAUCGUUGGAUCGCGGGGGAUACUGCUUGGCUAGGGGACGAGAGAGGCAGACGGUAUUUUCGGGGUAGGGGUGAAAUCCUAUAAUCCCGGGAAGACCACCAGUGGCGAAGGCUGUCUGCUAGAACGCGCCCGACGGUGAGGGAUGAAAGCUGGGGGAGCGAACCGGAUUAGAUACCCGGGUAGUCCCAGCUGUAAACGAUGCAGACUAGGUGUUUGGACGGCCACGUGCCGUUCUAGUGCCGCAGGGAAGCUGUUAAGUCUGCCGCCUGGGGAGUACGAUCGCAAGAUUGAAACUUAAAGGAAUUGGCGGGGG